GACGAACGCUGGCGGCGUGCUUAACGCAUGCAAGUCGAACGGAAAGGCCCUGCUUUUGUGGGGUGCUCGAGUGGCGAACGGGUGAGUAACACGUGAGUAACCUGCCCUUGACUUUGGGAUAACUUCAGGAAACUGGGGCUAAUACCGGAUAGGAGCUCCUGCUGCAUGGUGGGGGUUGGAAAGUUUCGGCGGUUGGGGAUGGACUCGCGGCUUAUCAGCUUGUUGGUGGGGUAGUGGCUUACCAAGGCUUUGACGGGUAGCCGGCCUGAGAGGGUGACCGGCCACAUUGGGACUGAGAUACGGCCCAGACUCCUACGGGAGGCAGCAGUGGGGAAUAUUGCACAAUGGGCGGAAGCCUGAUGCAGCAACGCCGCAUGCGGGAUGACGGCCUUCGGGUUGUAAACCGCUUUCGCCUGUGACGAAGCGUGAGUGACGGUAAUGGGUAAAGAAGCACCGGCUAACUACGUG
Molecule: ribosomal RNA, 468 nt
Filed under: uncultured bacterium
Lineage: Bacteria
Description: partial 16S ribosomal RNA
Rfam family: Bacterial small subunit ribosomal RNA
Source: RNAcentral